CAGCAGCCGCGGGAAUACGAAGGGUGCAAGCGUUACUCGGAAUUACUGGGCGUAAAGCGUGCGUAGGUGGUGGUUUAAGUCCGUUGUGAAAGCCCUGGGCUCAACCUGGGAAUUGCAGUGGAUACUGGGUCACUAGAGUGUGGUAGAGGAUAGUGGAAUUUCCGGUGUAGCAGUGAAAUGCGUAGAGAUCGGAAGGAACACCAACGGCGAAAGCACUCUGUUGGGCCAACACUGACACUGAGAGACGAAAGCUAGGGGAGAAAAUGGGAUUAGAUACCCGCGUAGUCCCUGUCUCUUAUAC
RNAcentral lists this ribosomal RNA (301 nucleotides) under uncultured bacterium. Its description in RNAcentral is "partial 16S ribosomal RNA". It matches the Rfam family "Bacterial small subunit ribosomal RNA", at positions 509 to 807 of the family's 1533-position model. The record is from RNAcentral.